Molecule: ribosomal RNA, 413 nt
Filed under: uncultured eukaryote
Lineage: Eukaryota
Description: SSU rRNA
Rfam family: Eukaryotic small subunit ribosomal RNA
Source: RNAcentral
CCAGCAGCUGCGGUAAUUCCAGCUCUAAUAGCGUAUAUUAAAGUUGUUGCAGUUAAAAAGCUCGUAGUCGGAUGUCGGGCUCGGGCAGGCUGUCGGCUUCGGUCGGACGGCAGGCUCGGGUCUUUCUGCCUGAGGAACCCGUGGCACUUAACCGUGGUGCGCGGGAACACGGGCCGUUUACUUUGAAAAAAUUAGAGUGUUCAAAGCAGGCCUACGCUUGAAUACAUUAGCAUGGAAUAAUGGAAUAGGACUUUGGUGCUAUUUCGUUGGUUAAUGGGACCGAAGUAAUGAUUAAAAGGGACAGUUGGGGCCGUUUAUAUUUCGUUGUCAGAGGUGAAAUUCUUGGAUUUACGAAAGAUAAACUUCUGCGAAAGCAUUCGGCAAGGAUGUUUUCAUUGAUCAAGAACGAAAGU